GCCCAGAUAGCUCAGUCGGUAGAGCAGGGGAUUGAAAAUCCCCGUGUCGGUGGUUCGAUUCCGCCUCUGGGCA
This is a transfer RNA of Gammaproteobacteria bacterium, 73 nucleotides long. It matches the Rfam family "tRNA". From Rfam's summary of the family: Transfer RNA (tRNA) molecules are approximately 80 nucleotides in length. Their secondary structure includes four short double-helical elements and three loops (D, anti-codon, and T loops). The record is from Rfam. Lineage: Bacteria; Pseudomonadati; Pseudomonadota; Gammaproteobacteria.